This 189-nucleotide ribosomal RNA is filed under the name uncultured bacterium. RNAcentral describes it as "partial 16S ribosomal RNA". It matches the Rfam family "Bacterial small subunit ribosomal RNA", at positions 338 to 524 of the family's 1533-position model. The record is from RNAcentral.
CCUACGGGAGGCAGCAGCGAGGAAUAUUGGACAAUGGGUGAGAGCCUGAUCCAGCCAUCCCGCGUGAAGGACGACGGCCCUAUGGGUUGUAAACUUCUUUUGUAUAGGGAUAAACCUAGAUACGUGUAUCUAGCUGAAGGUACUAUACGAAUAAGCACCGGCUAACUCCGUGCCAGCAGCCGCGGUAAU